RNAcentral lists this ribosomal RNA (505 nucleotides) under uncultured bacterium. RNAcentral describes it as "partial 16S ribosomal RNA". It matches the Rfam family "Bacterial small subunit ribosomal RNA", at positions 28 to 507 of the family's 1533-position model. The record is from RNAcentral.
GACGAACGCUGGCGGCGUGCCUAAUACAUGCCAGUAGAACGCACAGUUUAUACCGUAGCUUGCUACACCAUAAACUGUGAGUUGCGAACGGGUGAGUAACGCGUAGGUAACCUGCCUGGUAGCGGGGGAUAACUAUUGGAAACGAUAGCUAAUACCGCAUAAUAUUAAUUAUUGCAUGAUAAUUGAUUGAAAGAUGCAAUUGCAUCACUACCAGAUGGACCUGCGUUGUAUUAGCUAGUAGGUGAGGUAACGGCUCACCUAGGCGACGAUACAUAGCCGACCUGAGAGGGUGAUCGGCCACACUGGGACUGAGACACGGCCCAGACUCCUACGGGAGGCAGCAGGAGGGAAUCUUCGGCAAUGGACGAAAGUCUGACCGAGCAACGCCGCGUGAGUGAAGAAGGGUUUCGGAUCGUAAAGCUCGGUUGUAAGAGAAGAACGGGUGUGAGAGUGGAAAGUUCACACUGUGACGGUAUCUUACCAGAAAGGGACGGCUAACUACGUG